Long non-coding RNA from Paramisgurnus dabryanus, 1622 nucleotides. RefSeq lists it as uncharacterized. Lineage: Eukaryota; Metazoa; Chordata; Actinopteri; Cypriniformes; Cobitidae. The record is from RefSeq and is a predicted model, not a curated record.
AACAGUUCCCAGAGUCGUCUUUGUUUGCUCACUGAACAGUACGUAUGAAGUUUCUGGUGCGCGCGGGUGCGAGCAGAGAGAGAGAGAGAGAAUCCAGAGAAAUAUAAUGUACAGUGAAAGCUAAAACAUCAGACUGAUCCAGACACUGAAGAAAUUGAUGUGACUGUAAUCUGGCCAAAAUGAUGCCUCUUUUAUCUUGAUCAUCUCCAGGUGUAAAUUCCUCGCUAAUCCUCUUGCAGCUUGUUACACACACACAAAAGCUGACAACUAUAAUGAAGUAACCUACUAUAAUAAAGCUGCAGAACGACACGGAGACUCUGAGGACAUCAACACAGAAAAUGAAGGCUCCAAAGAGAUGUCUGUCCAGAUAAGGGUGCAUCAACGUUACCUUUGCUGACAAGUACAGUAUAUGCUUUACAAUGUAAAACCUAACAGUUAACUUAAGUCAAACCAUUUAAGGAAACAGGUUGCUUUAAACCAUUUAAGUUUUAAAACACAUACAUUUGAGUACUGUGAACAUCACAAGUGGAUGACAUUAAUGCCAGGUGUAAACGGUGUUCAAAACGCUUCGAGCUCAUCUACUUUUGACCACUUUCGACCACAUUCAGAGGUAGUCGAAACCCAAGACAUAAUUCCAAAACAAAGCUCUGCAAUUGAAUCUACAUUGCAAAAAUCACUUUCUAACUUAGUAUUUUUAUCUUGUUUUCAGUAGAAAAACUAAAAAUUCUUAAAUCAAGAUGUAUUUUCUUGAUGAGCAAAAUUACCUAAGAAAAAUGUCUAGUUUUUAGACAAAAAUAUACAAUUUAAGUAGAUUUGUGCCUAAAACAAGCAAAACUAUCUGACAAUGGGGUCAGAAAAUUUAGCUUGAAUUAAGUUUUUAAGAAAAAAGAAAAACUUAUUUUAUGGUUUCUUUUCUCACACCAUUGGCAGAUAUUUUUGCUUGUUUUAAGCAUUCAAAUUCACAAAUGUAUUAUUAUUAUUUUUAUAUAUAUAUAAAAACUAGACUUAUUUCCUUAAGUCAUUUUGUUAAUCAAGAAAAAGCAUUUCAAUUGAAAUAAUAUUUCUACUAAAAACAAGACAAAAAUACUAAGUAAGAGUCAUUUGUUGCAGUGUAGGAGUGAUUUCUUAAAGCAAGAUCAAUAGUUGUUGUUCAUUUUAUUUAGAUAUUUACUACAUUACAGUGGCGGCUGGUAACUUUUUUUUUGUGAGCAAUCGAUGUGAAGUUCACAAUUUCAAAAUGUGUUCUGCGUGUCGAGUGCGUGUAUGUGCAUCACGUGUUUUGACUAAACACGUGAUGCACAUGGUUUACAUGAAGCAACAAACACAUUUUUAAAACACCAGCAACACACAACACUCAACACUCAACACUUAUUUUGAAUUUGCCCCCUCUGAUGAGCAGUCAUGAGCCGCCACUGCUACAUUACAUGUACUGCUUUGAAUGUAGUUUCAUUGUUGCUUUUAUUUUGUUUUAUUUUACUCUAAUAUUGCUAAUAUUUGUAUAUUUAUGAGUUUAAAUAGUAUUGUUUAUGUAUGCAACUUUUAAUAUUUGUGUAUAAUAUUAUUUUGUGAUUGUGACAAUUGUGGAUUGUUCUGUUUUUAUUAAAUAAACAUUUCAAACUCAA